RNAcentral lists this ribosomal RNA (207 nucleotides) under uncultured bacterium. Its description in RNAcentral is "partial 16S ribosomal RNA". It matches the Rfam family "Bacterial small subunit ribosomal RNA", at positions 568 to 774 of the family's 1533-position model. The record is from RNAcentral.
CACGUAGGCGGAUUUGUAAGUCAGGGGUGAAAUCCCGGGGCUCAACCUCGGAACUGCCUUUGAUACUGCGAAUCUCGAGUCCGGAAGAGGUGAGUGGAAUUCCUAGUGUAGAGGUGAAAUUCGUAGAUAUUAGGAAGAACACCAGUGGCGAAGGCGGCUCACUGGUCCGGUACUGACGCUGAGGUGCGAAAGCGUGGGGAGCAAACA